This 1428-nucleotide ribosomal RNA is filed under the name Acinetobacter calcoaceticus. Its description in RNAcentral is "bacterial SSU rRNA". It matches the Rfam family "Bacterial small subunit ribosomal RNA". Lineage: Bacteria; Pseudomonadati; Pseudomonadota; Gammaproteobacteria; Moraxellales; Moraxellaceae. The record is from RNAcentral.
AGCUUACACAUGCAAGUCGAGCGGAGUGAUGGUGCUUGCACUAUCACUUAGCGGCGGACGGGUGAGUAAUGCUUAGGAAUCUGCCUAUUAGUGGGGGACAACAUUUCGAAAGGAAUGCUAAUACCGCAUACGUCCUACGGGAGAAAGCAGGGGAUCUUCGGACCUUGCGCUAAUAGAUGAGCCUAAGUCGGAUUAGCUAGUUGGUGGGGUAAAGGCCUACCAAGGCGACGAUCUGUAGCGGGUCUGAGAGGAUGAUCCGCCACACUGGGACUGAGACACGGCCCAGACUCCUACGGGAGGCAGCAGUGGGGAAUAUUGGACAAUGGGCGCAAGCCUGAUCCAGCCAUGCCGCGUGUGUGAAGAAGGCCUUAUGGUUGUAAAGCACUUUAAGCGAGGAGGAGGCUACUGAAGUUAAUACCUUCAGAUAGUGGACGUUACUCGCAGAAUAAGCACCGGCUAACUCUGUGCCAGCAGCCGCGGUAAUACAGAGGGUGCAAGCGUUAAUCGGAUUUACUGGGCGUAAAGCGCGCGUAGGCGGCUAAUUAAGUCAAAUGUGAAAUCCCCGAGCUUAACUUGGGAAUUGCAUUCGAUACUGGUUAGCUAGAGUGUGGGAGAGGAUGGUAGAAUUCCAGGUGUAGCGGUGAAAUGCGUAGAGAUCUGGAGGAAUACCGAUGGCGAAGGCAGCCAUCUGGCCUAACACUGACGCUGAGGUGCGAAAGCAUGGGGAGCAAACAGGAUUAGAUACCCUGGUAGUCCAUGCCGUAAACGAUGUCUACUAGCCGUUGGGGCCUUUGAGGCUUUAGUGGCGCAGCUAACGCGAUAAGUAGACCGCCUGGGGAGUACGGUCGCAAGACUAAAACUCAAAUGAAUUGACGGGGGCCCGCACAAGCGGUGGAGCAUGUGGUUUAAUUCGAUGCAACGCGAAGAACCUUACCUGGCCUUGACAUAGUAAGAACUUUCCAGAGAUGGAUUGGUGCCUUCGGGAACUUACAUACAGGUGCUGCAUGGCUGUCGUCAGCUCGUGUCGUGAGAUGUUGGGUUAAGUCCCGCAACGAGCGCAACCCUUUUCCUUAUUUGCCAGCGAGUAAUGUCGGGAACUUUAAGGAUACUGCCAGUGACAAACUGGAGGAAGGCGGGGACGACGUCAAGUCAUCAUGGCCCUUACGGCCAGGGCUACACACGUGCUACAAUGGUCGGUACAAAGGGUUGCUACCUAGCGAUAGGAUGCUAAUCUCAAAAAGCCGAUCGUAGUCCGGAUUGGAGUCUGCAACUCGACUCCAUGAAGUCGGAAUCGCUAGUAAUCGCGGAUCAGAAUGCCGCGGUGAAUACGUUCCCGGGCCUUGUACACACCGCCCGUCACACCAUGGGAGUUUGUGCACCAGAAGUAGGUAGUCUAACCGCAAGGAGGACGCUUACCACGGUUGCCGA